AGCAGCCGCGGUAAUUCCAGCUCCAAUAGCGUAUAUUAAAGUUGUUGCAGUUAAAAAGCUCGUAGUUGAAUUUCGGGAUUGACGUGACGGUCGUGCCUUACGGGGUAUGAACUGUUGCAGUCAAUUUCUCACCUUCUGGAGAAAUAUGAUGUCCUUAAUUGGGUGUCAUAUGGAACCAGGACCUUUACCUUGAAAAAAUUAGAGUGUUUAAAGCAAGCAUAUUGCUCGAAUACAUUAGCAUGGAAUAAUAAAAUAGGACGGCUUGAUUCUAUUUUGUUGGUUUCUAGGAUCACCGUAAUGAUUAAUAGGGAUAGUUGGGGGCAUUAGUAUUCAAUUGUCAGAGGUGAAAUUCUUGGAUUUAUUGAAGACUAACUACUGCGAAAGCAUUUGCCAAGGAUGUUUUCAUUAAUCAAGAACGAAAGUUAGGGGAUCGAAGACGAUCAGAUACCGUCGUAGUCUUAAACCAUAAACUAUGCCGACUAGGAAUCAGACGAUGUUAAUUUUUAAUGACUCGUUUGGC
RNAcentral lists this ribosomal RNA (520 nucleotides) under uncultured Entrophospora. RNAcentral describes it as "SSU rRNA". It matches the Rfam family "Eukaryotic small subunit ribosomal RNA", at positions 569 to 1084 of the family's 1831-position model. Lineage: Eukaryota; Fungi; Glomeromycota; Glomeromycetes; Entrophosporales; Entrophosporaceae. The record is from RNAcentral.